GAUUCACUAAAGCACUGAGAGGUUUCUGACUGAUAUUUUCUUUGAAAAGUGGGGAAAAAAAUCUCUGCCUCUGUGCUCCUGACUCCAUAAACCUUCAGACAGAGAAAUAAACCCAUUACAUUACAUUGAUCCUGAACAGCAGCAGGCGUCUCUCGUUGCUGGCCGUGUGUUUCGGUCUGCUGUCAGAGAGUUGUGUGGCUCGGGCCUGUAAGAAAAUGGAGCAUCGAGGACUUGGUGACUUUUGAAUGAAUGUUUCAUCAGAUUGAGAUGACUGUGAAGGAACUGAGGAAAUAAAAAAUGUGAUCUUUAAUGCUGACCUGAGGCAAAGGGGAAGCCGGAGCUGGUGAACUUUUGCACAAUAAGGAGAAACGGGACAAGAAGAUGGCAUCAGAGGAGACAAAUGUGUUUUCUCUUUUUGGAAGCUCAAAUUCCAUCUUCAGUCUUGAAGACUCAAGGCAAUGACCUUGGUCUUUUAACUUUAUUUUUUAUUUUUUUAUGGGUAUCAUGCUCUCGUGUCUUUUACUGUAUUGUAUUGUUACUCAUGCUUCAAUUCUCUGAAGCCUCUCUCUCUAAGAAUGACACAAACACAAAACCAGAAGUUGUCUUUUUAAAAAAGUUCUUCUCUGUUCAGACAGGAACUGACCAACAUGCUUCACAUUCUUGGACAUCUUGGUAAAAUGCUCACACUAACAGAGCAGAUUUGGCUCAACUCUUCUUGGUUUUAGUAUCAGACACGUAGCUUUUCAUUGCAGUGAAUACUUUGAUUGUAUCUUCACAACAUCGGCAUAAUGAGCCUUUCAUUUUUUUAUCUUUUCCAAAUGUGAACCUCAUGCAGCAGAUUAAAGUCGUGUAUGGUUCAGUGCACUUUAAAGUUUUGUUUUACAAAUAAAGAAACUUCUACCAUAA
Long non-coding RNA from Cheilinus undulatus (humphead wrasse), 906 nucleotides. RefSeq lists it as uncharacterized. Lineage: Eukaryota; Metazoa; Chordata; Actinopteri; Labriformes; Labridae. The record is from RefSeq and is a predicted model, not a curated record. The transcript is spliced from 2 exons.